Mustela putorius furo (domestic ferret) is the source of this 102-nucleotide small nuclear RNA. Lineage: Eukaryota; Metazoa; Chordata; Mammalia; Carnivora; Mustelidae. The record is from Ensembl.
GGGCUCGCUGCAGAGAACAUAUACUGAAACUGGAAUGAUACAAGAUUAGCACGGCUCCUGCACAAGGCUGACACGCAAAUUCGUGAAGCAUUCCAUAUUUAA